Molecule: ribosomal RNA, 494 nt
Filed under: uncultured bacterium
Lineage: Bacteria
Description: partial 16S ribosomal RNA
Rfam family: Bacterial small subunit ribosomal RNA
Source: RNAcentral
GACGAACGCUGGCGGCGUGCUUAACACAUGCAAGUCGAACGGUGAAGCGCCUUCCUUUUUGGUGGGUGUGGAUGAGUGGCGAACGGGUGAGUAACACGUGAGUAACCUGCCCCCUUCUUCUGGAUAACCGCAUGAAAGUGUGGCUAAUACGGGAUAUUCUGUGUCUGUCGCAUGAUGGGUCUGGGAAAGAUAUUGUUUCGGUGGGGGAUGGGCUCGCGGCCUAUCAGCUUGUUGGUGGGGUGAUGGCCUACCAAGGCGGUGACGGGUAGCCGGCCUGAGAGGGUGGACGGUCACACUGGGACUGAGACACGGCCCAGACUCCUACGGGAGGCGGCAGUGGGGUAUAUUGCACAAUGGGCGCAAGCCUGAUGCAGCGACGCCGCGUGAGGGAUGGAGGCCUUCGGGUUGUGAACCUCUUUCGCCAGUGAAGCAGGCCUGCCUCGUUUGUGGGUGGGUUGACGGUAGCUGGAUAAGAAGCGCCGGCUAACUACGUG